This 253-nucleotide ribosomal RNA is filed under the name uncultured bacterium. RNAcentral describes it as "partial 16S ribosomal RNA". It matches the Rfam family "Bacterial small subunit ribosomal RNA", at positions 524 to 776 of the family's 1533-position model. The record is from RNAcentral.
UACGGAGGAGGCAAGCGUUAUCCGGAAUUACUGGGCGUAAAGGGCGCGUAGGCGGCGAACCAAGUCAGAUGUGAAAGUCCUGGGCUUAACCUGGGGACUGCAUUUGAUACUGGUUUGCUUGAAUUCGGGAGAGGAUAGCGGAAUUCCCAGUGUAGAGGUGAAAUUCGUAGAUAUUGGGAAGAACACCGGUGGCGAAGGCGGCUAUCUGGACCGACAUUGACGCUGAGGCGCGAAAGCGUGGGGAGCAAACAGG